This 911-nucleotide ribosomal RNA is filed under the name Klebsiella variicola. Its description in RNAcentral is "bacterial SSU rRNA". It matches the Rfam family "Bacterial small subunit ribosomal RNA", at positions 568 to 1479 of the family's 1533-position model. Lineage: Bacteria; Pseudomonadati; Pseudomonadota; Gammaproteobacteria; Enterobacterales; Enterobacteriaceae. The record is from RNAcentral.
CACGCAGGCGGUCUGUCAAGUCGGAUGUGAAAUCCCCGGGCUCAACCUGGGAACUGCAUUCGAAACUGGCAGGCUAGAGUCUUGUAGAGGGGGGUAGAAUUCCAGGUGUAGCGGUGAAAUGCGUAGAGAUCUGGAGGAAUACCGGUGGCGAAGGCGGCCCCCUGGACAAAGACUGACGCUCAGGUGCGAAAGCGUGGGGAGCAAACAGGAUUAGAUACCCUGGUAGUCCACGCUGUAAACGAUGUCGAUUUGGAGGUUGUGCCCUUGAGGCGUGGCUUCCGGAGCUAACGCGUUAAAUCGACCGCCUGGGGAGUACGGCCGCAAGGUUAAAACUCAAAUGAAUUGACGGGGGCCCGCACAAGCGGUGGAGCAUGUGGUUUAAUUCGAUGCAACGCGAAGAACCUUACCUGGUCUUGACAUCCACAGAACUUUCCAGAGAUGGAUUGGUGCCUUCGGGAACUGUGAGACAGGUGCUGCAUGGCUGUCGUCAGCUCGUGUUGUGAAAUGUUGGGUUAAGUCCCGCAACGAGCGCAACCCUUAUCCUUUGUUGCCAGCGGUUAGGCCGGGAACUCAAAGGAGACUGCCAGUGAUAAACUGGAGGAAGGUGGGGAUGACGUCAAGUCAUCAUGGCCCUUACGACCAGGGCUACACACGUGCUACAAUGGCAUAUACAAAGAGAAGCGACCUCGCGAGAGCAAGCGGACCUCAUAAAGUAUGUCGUAGUCCGGAUUGGAGUCUGCAACUCGACUCCAUGAAGUCGGAAUCGCUAGUAAUCGUAGAUCAGAAUGCUACGGUGAAUACGUUCCCGGGCCUUGUACACACCGCCCGUCACACCAUGGGAGUGGGUUGCAAAAGAAGUAGGUAGCUUAACCUUCGGGAGGGCGCUUACCACUUUGUGAUUCAUGACUGGG